RNAcentral lists this ribosomal RNA (253 nucleotides) under uncultured bacterium. Its description in RNAcentral is "partial 16S ribosomal RNA". It matches the Rfam family "Bacterial small subunit ribosomal RNA", at positions 524 to 776 of the family's 1533-position model. The record is from RNAcentral.
UACGGAGGGUGCGAGCGUUGUUCGGAAUCACUGGGCGUAAGGCGCGUGUAGGCGGCCCACUAAGUCUGAUGUGAAAGCCCGGGGCUCACCCCCGGAAGUGCAUUGGAAACUGGUGGACUCGAGUCCCGGAGAGGAGAGUGGAAUUCCUGGUGUCGCGGUGAAAUGCGUAGAUAUCAGGAGGAACACCGGUGGCGAAGGCGGCUCUCUGGACGGUGACUGACGCUGAGACGCGAAAGCGUGGGGAGCAAACAGG